This is a non-coding RNA of Trichonephila clavipes, 74 nucleotides long. Lineage: Eukaryota; Metazoa; Arthropoda; Arachnida; Araneae; Nephilidae. The record is from the annotation of a GenBank genome assembly.
GUAUCCAUGGUGUAGUGGUUAUCACAUCCGCCUAAUACGCGUGAAGGUACCAGGUUCGAAUCCCGGUGGGUACA